UAUGGUAAUUGUGUGCCGCCGCGGUAAUACGUAGGGGGCAAGCGUUAUCCGGAUUUACUGGGUGUAAAGGGAGCGUAGGCGGCGGAGCAAGUCAGAAGUGAAAGCCCGGGGCUCAACCCCGGGACGGCUUUUGAAACUGCCCUGCUUGAUUUCAGGAGAGGUAAGCGGAAUUCCUAGUGUAGCGGUGAAAUGCGUAGAUAUUAGGAGGAACACCAGUGGCGAAGGCGGCUUACUGGACUGACAAUGACGCUGAGGCUCGAAAGCGUGGGGAGCAAACAGG
RNAcentral lists this ribosomal RNA (280 nucleotides) under Pseudocoprococcus catus. RNAcentral describes it as "Coprococcus catus partial 16S ribosomal RNA". It matches the Rfam family "Bacterial small subunit ribosomal RNA", at positions 493 to 776 of the family's 1533-position model. Lineage: Bacteria; Bacillati; Bacillota; Clostridia; Lachnospirales; Lachnospiraceae. The record is from RNAcentral.